GCUGUAUCAUUGGGCGUAAAGCGUGCGCAGGCGGUUUUGUAAGACAGAGGUGAAAUCCCCGGGCUCAACCUGGGAACUGCCUUUGUGACUGCAAGGCUGGAGUGCGGCAGAGGGGGAUGGAAUUCCGCGUGUAGCAGUGAAAUGCGUAGAUAUGCGGAGGAACACCGAUGGCGAAGGCAAUCCCCUGGGCCUGCACUGACGCUCAUGCACGAAAGCGUGGGGAGCAAACA
Molecule: ribosomal RNA, 230 nt
Filed under: uncultured Alicycliphilus sp.
Lineage: Bacteria; Pseudomonadati; Pseudomonadota; Betaproteobacteria; Burkholderiales; Comamonadaceae
Description: partial 16S ribosomal RNA
Rfam family: Bacterial small subunit ribosomal RNA
Source: RNAcentral